UUAAGUAGACCGCCUGGGGAGUACGGCCGCAAGGUUAAAACUCAAAUGAAUUGACGGGGGCCCGCACAAGCGGUGGAGCAUGUGGUUUAAUUCGAUGCAACGCGAAGAACCUUACCUGGUCUUGACAUCCACAGAAGAAUCCAGAGAUGGAUUUGUGCCUUCGGGAACUGUGAGACAGGUGCUGCAUGGCUGUCGUCAGCUCGUGUUGUGAAAUGUUGGGUUAAGUCCCGCAACGAGCGCAACCCUUAUCCUUUGUUGCCAGCGGUCCGGCCGGGAACUCAAAGGAGACUGCCAGUGAUAAACUGGAGGAAGGUGGGGAUGACGUCAAGUCAUCAUGGCCCUUACGACCAGGGCUACACACGUGCUACAAUGGCGCAUACAAAGAGAAGCGACCUCGCGAGAGCAAGCGGACCUCAUAAAGUGCGUCGUAGUCCGGAUUGGAGUCUGCAACUCGACUCCAUGAAGUCGGAAUCGCUAGUAAUCGUGGAUCAGAAUGCCACGGUGAAUACGUUCCCGGGCCUUGUACACACCGCCCGUCACACCAUGGGAGUGGGUUGCAAAAGAAGUAGGUAGCUUAACCUUCGGGAGGGCGCUUACCACUUUGUGAUUCAUGACUGGGGUGAAGUCGUAACAAGGUAACCGUAGGGGAACCUGCGGUUGGA
This 662-nucleotide ribosomal RNA is filed under the name Salmonella enterica subsp. enterica serovar Infantis. RNAcentral describes it as "bacterial SSU rRNA". It matches the Rfam family "Bacterial small subunit ribosomal RNA", at positions 860 to 1522 of the family's 1533-position model. Lineage: Bacteria; Pseudomonadati; Pseudomonadota; Gammaproteobacteria; Enterobacterales; Enterobacteriaceae. The record is from RNAcentral. RNAcentral also lists the same sequence under 1 other name.